Molecule: ribosomal RNA, 497 nt
Filed under: uncultured bacterium
Lineage: Bacteria
Description: partial 16S ribosomal RNA
Rfam family: Bacterial small subunit ribosomal RNA
Source: RNAcentral
GAUGAACGCUGGCGGCGUGCCUAAUACAUCUAAGUCGAGCGAACGGACGAGAAGCUUGCUUCUCUGAUGUUAGCGGCGGACGGGUGAGUAACACGUGGAUAACCUACCUAUAAGACUGGGAUAACUUCGGGAAACCGGAGCUAAUACCGGAUGAUAUUUUGAACCGCAUGGUUCAAAAGUGAAAGACGGUCUUGCUGUCACUUAUAGAUGGAUCCGCGCUGCAUUAGCUAGUUGGUAAGGUAACGGCUUACCAAGGCAACGAUGCAUAGCCGACCUGAGAGGGUGAUCGGCCACACUGGAACUGAGACACGGUCCAGACUCCUACGGGAGGCAGCAGUAGGGAAUCUUCCGCAAUGGGCGAAAGCCUGACGGAGCAACGCCGCGUGAGUGAUGAAGGUCUUCGGAUCGUAAAACUCUGUUAUUAGGGAAGAACAUAUGUGUAAGUAACUGUGCACAUCUUGACGGUACCUAAUCAGAAAGCCACGGCUAACUACGUG